Molecule: ribosomal RNA, 443 nt
Filed under: uncultured bacterium
Lineage: Bacteria
Description: partial 16S ribosomal RNA
Rfam family: Bacterial small subunit ribosomal RNA
Source: RNAcentral
CCUACGGGUGGCAGCAGUGGGGAAUAUUGGGCAAUGGAGGCAACUCUGACCCAGCAACGCCGCGUGAAUGAUGAAGGUCUUCGGAUUGUAAAGUUCUUUUCUAAGGGAAGAAGAACGUGACGGUACCUUAGGAAUAAGCCUCGGCUAACUACGUGCAAGCAGCAGCGGUAAUACGUAGGAGGCCAGCGUUAUCCGGAAUGAAUGGUCGUAAAGGGUGCGUAGGUGGUAUGACAAGCUAGUAGCGCAACUCCGGGGAUCAACGUCGGAAUUGCGACUAAAACGGUUGGACUUGAGUGCAGGGGGGGCAAGCGGAAUUCCUAGUGUAGCGGUGGAAUGCGUAGAUAUGAGGAGGAACACCAGUGGCGAAGGCGGAUUGCUAGACUGGAACUGACACUGAGGCACGAAAGCGUGGGGAGCAAACAGGAUUAGAUACCCUGGUAGUC